AUUGAACGCUGGCGGCAGGCCUAACACAUGCAAGUCGAGCGGAUGAAGGGAGCUUGCUCCUGGAUUCAGCGGCGGACGGGUGAGUAAUGCCUAGGAAUCUGCCUGGUAGUGGGGGAUGACGUCCGGAAACGGGCGCUAAUACCGCAUACGUCCUGAGGGAGAAAGUGGGGGAUCUUCGGACCUCACGCUAUCAGAUGAGCCUAGGUCGGAUUAGCUAGUUGGUGGGGUAAAGGCCUACCAAGGCGACGAUCCGUAACUGGUCUGAGAGGAUGAUCAGUCACACUGGAACUGAGACACGGUCCAGACUCCUACGGGAGGCAGCAGUGGGGAAUAUUGGACAAUGGGCGAAAGCCUGAUCCAGCCAUGCCGCGUGUGUGAAGAAGGUCUUCGGAUUGUAAAGCACUUUAAGUUGGGAGGAAGGGCAGUAAGUUAAUACCUCGCUGUUUUGACGUUACCAACAGAAUAAGCACCGGCUAACUUCGUG
Molecule: ribosomal RNA, 484 nt
Filed under: uncultured bacterium
Lineage: Bacteria
Description: partial 16S ribosomal RNA
Rfam family: Bacterial small subunit ribosomal RNA
Source: RNAcentral